This 427-nucleotide long non-coding RNA is filed under the name Cricetulus griseus (Chinese hamster). RNAcentral's name for it is "lncRNA (ENSCGRG00015043267.1)". The record is from RNAcentral. Lineage: Eukaryota; Metazoa; Chordata; Mammalia; Rodentia; Cricetidae.
CUCCUCUUCCUUUCCCUGACCCCAGCACAGGAAUUUGAUCUGAGGGUGCCGUAAGUAGUGGCAGUAAAUAAUCUCUUAUUGAUUCCCACCUCAGUUCUCAGACAUCUUGCUUGCUGCAAGCGGUUCCAGAGUGGAACCGAAAAGAUGCAUGGUGAAUGGAUUUGGCUGAGAACUGCCGGGCUACUUUCUCAGGCACCUUUUCAUUCCCAAACUGCAUGUUCUCAAACAAGACAAAAACACAGCCCUGCUAUUAGGAUGAACAGUUCUGGAUUCAGACUCAGUUUCCCCAUCUGUAAAAUGUACUGGAUAUUAAACCAAGGGCCCUGCAUCUGCUAACAGACAGGUUUCUCUGUAGCUUUGGAGCUUGUCCUACAACUAGCUCUGUAGACCAGACUGGCCUCAAACUCACUAAAGGUGUGAGUCACCA